RNAcentral lists this long non-coding RNA (2058 nucleotides) under Sus scrofa (pig). RNAcentral's name for it is "lncRNA (ENSSSCG00055024820.1, ENSSSCG00155014480.1, ENSSSCG00160025566.1)". The record is from RNAcentral. Lineage: Eukaryota; Metazoa; Chordata; Mammalia; Artiodactyla; Suidae.
CUGUCCUGUACACGUCGUGGCAGAAACUGGGAUAGCUGCCCGGCUCCUCUCAGGAGGCUGGGAUGCCCAAGAGACCAGAACCAGGGCCGCAUGUGCAGGGCUAGGGGUCAAAUUCAAGCCACAGCUACUGGCCUACAGCGACGCCGGAUCUGAGUCUGUAACCUACACCACAGCUUAUGGCAAAGCCAGAUCCUUAACCCACUGAUUGAGGUCAGGGAUUGAACCUGAGUCCUCAUGCAUCCUAGUCAGGUUCGUUAACUACUGAGCUACAGAGGGAACUCCCGAGCCCAAUGAUUUAUAUUUGGGACAUGUUUCACUCGAUCUCGAAUACCCUUCCCCACCCUCAACCUCCUCCUGGCCUGCCCGGGCUUUCCUCUCCCCUGCAGCCCUGAUGGAGAGGCCACCAUGUGCUCCUCCAAGCCCUGGCGCCUGCCCUCCAGGACGCCGCCUUUCCCUCUCAUUGGGCCCUGGGGAGGCUCUGAUGCUCCUGAGAGUGACGCUGGUUUGGCAGCAGGAGCCGUGGGAGCUAGACAUGGGCAGGUUGGAUGUGGUUCUUGCGCCAGAGCCUCGUCCUCCUGUUGGGGACCCGGCCUUCUUGCCCUCCUCCCUGCUCAACAAACAGAGCAAUCAGUCUGUGUCAGCCCGGAUCUGGGGACCAAAAAUAAACAAACCCACACAAGGUCCUGCCCUGGUGAGGCUGACAUUCUCAUCGGGUGACACAGUUCAUGACCAAGUGAACAAACCCACAUACUCAUGGGUAUUUGCAAAUCACAUGGAGUUUAAGAAAGAACAGGGUGUAGUGACAGAAGAGCAGGGGGUGGGAGACUGACCUUGGAGGGGGAGGGGCCGGGUUGCUUUAUAUGAAUCAACAGGGAACAAUCACCAUGACAUAUUGUUAGGUAGAGUAGAGCAAGAAGGGCGUGUGCCUUAUGAGGAGGUGACAUCUGCAUGGAGAUGGAGGCAUCUGUGGAGGCCAAGGCCUUGUAGGCAGAAUGGGCAGCAUGUGCAAAGGUCCUGAGGUGGGAAGGAAAUUGGAGGGUCAAGGACCAGCAAAAAUAUGGGACUCAUGGUGAGCGAGGAGGGUGUGGGCCACCUCCAACAGCAUGGUGGGGAGGUGGUAGCCCCAUUUCAUGGCUGGGAAACUGAGGCCUGGGGAGAAGAAUCCUUUGCCCAAGGACCGUUGCACUCAGGCAGCCUUCGGCCUUACCACUAGGACAGUAGUUCUCAGUGUGGGGUCCCAGACCAGCAGUAUCAGCAUCAUCUGUCAGGCACACCCCAAAACUACCCAACCAGGAACUGGGGGUGGGCGCGGGGGUGUGGAGCCCAGCAACCUGCCUUUAACCAGCCUUCCAGAGGAUUCCAACGAGCCAGGAAAAAUUUUUGAGAACCACUGAGCUGGGCUCUCCUGCCUCCCCAAGUUUUUCUCAUGCCCUACGAAGGAUCCCUGCUCACUCUGGGCUGAGUGGUGAUGCCCCCAAAAUGUAUGCGCACACCUGCCCAAAUCCCUGAAACCUAUGAGUGUCAUCUUGUUUGGAAAAAGGGUGUUUGUAGCUAUAGUUAGGUUGGGGAAUCUUUUAUUUUUUUCAGCUGCACCUGAAGCAUAUGGAAGUUCCCCAGCCAGGGAUUGAAUCCAAGCUACAUCUGCAGCCUAUGUCACACAUGCAGCAAUGUCAGAUCCUUAACCCACUGUGCUGGGCCAGGGAUCAAACCGGCAAUGCCACAGAGGCAAGUCAGAUCCUUGCCUAGGCUGGGAAUCUUGAGAUAAGAAGACAAUCCUGGAGUUCCUGUCGUGGCUCAGCGGUUAACGAAUCCGACUAGGAACCAUGAGGUUGCGGGUUCGACCCCUGCCCUUGCUCAGUGGGUUAAGGAUCUGGCGUUGCUGUGGCUGUGGUGUAGGCCGGCAGCUACAGCUCCAAUUCGACCCCUAGCCUGGGAACCUCCAUAUGCCGUGGCAGCGGCCCAAGAAAUGGCAAAAAGACAAAACAAAAAAACAAAAACAAAAACCCAAUUCAACAAGUAACGAAUUGACAAGCAGCACUAACCUCUUUGACGGUGAAG